This 582-nucleotide ribosomal RNA is filed under the name uncultured fungus. RNAcentral describes it as "eukaryotic LSU rRNA". The stretch from base 210 to 363 matches the Rfam family "5.8S ribosomal RNA". The record is from RNAcentral. Lineage: Eukaryota; Fungi.
CCGUAGGUGAACCUGCGGAAGGAUCAUUAAAGAGUAAGGGUGCUCAGCGCCCGACCUCCAACCCUUUGUUGUUAAAACUACCUUGUUGCUUUGGCGGGACCGCUCGGUCUCGAGCCGCCGGGGCUUCGGCCCAGGCGAGCGCCCGCCAGAGUUAAACCAAACUCUUGUUAAUAAACCGGUCGUCUGAGUUAAACUUUUGAAUAAAUCAAAACUUUCAACAACGGAUCUCUUGGUUCUCGCAUCGAUGAAGAACGCAGCGAAAUGCGAUAAGUAAUGUGAAUUGCAGAAUUCAGUGAAUCAUCGAAUCUUUGAACGCACAUUGCGCCCCUUGGUAUUCCGAGGGGCAUGCCUGUUCGAGCGUCAUUACACCACUCAAGCACUGCUUGGUAUUGGGCGUCCGUCCCUCACGGGGCGCGCCUUAAAGACCUCGGCGAGGCCUCACCGGCUUUAGGCGUAGUAGAAUUUAUUCGAACGUCUGUCAAUGGAGAGGACUUCUGCCGACUGAAACCUUUUAUUUUUUCUAGGUUGACCUCGGAUCAGGUAGGGAUACCCGCUGAACUUAAGCAUAUCAAUAAGCGGAGG